RNAcentral lists this ribosomal RNA (252 nucleotides) under uncultured bacterium. RNAcentral's name for it is "partial 16S ribosomal RNA". It matches the Rfam family "Bacterial small subunit ribosomal RNA", at positions 524 to 776 of the family's 1533-position model. The record is from RNAcentral.
UACGUAGGUCCCGAGCGUUGUCCGGAUUUAUUGGGCGUAAAGCGAGCGCAGGUGGUUUAUUAAGUCUGGUGUAAAAGGCAGUGGCUCAACCAUUGUAUGCAUUGGAAACUGAUAGACUUGAGUGCAGGAGGGGAGAGUGGAAUUCCAUGUGUAGCGGUGAAAUGCGUAGAUAUAUGGAGGAACACCGGUGGCGAAAGCGGCUCUCUGGCCUGUAACUGACACUGAGGCUCGAAAGCGUAGGGAGCAAACAGG